GGGUUGUGAGGUUAAGCGACUAAGCGUACACGGUGGAUGCCCUGGCAGUCAGAGGCGAUGAAGGACGUGCUAAUCUGCGAUAAGCGCCGGUAAGGUGAUAUGAACCGUUAUAACCGGCGAUUUCCGAAUGGGGAAACCCAGUGCGACUCGUCACACUAUCAUUAACUGAAUCCAUAGGUUAAUGAGGCGAACCGGGGGAACUGAAACAUCUAAGUACCCCGAGGAAAAGAAAUCAACCGAGAUUCCCCCAGUAGCGGCGAGCGAACGGGGAGGAGCCCAGAGCCUGAAUCAGCAUGUGUGUUAGUGGAAGCGUCUGGAAAGGCGCGCGAUACAGGGUGACAGCCCCGUACACAAAAGCGCAUGUGCUGUGAGCUCGAUGAGUAGGGCGGGACACGUGGUAUCCUGUCUGAAUAUGGGGGGACCAUCCUCCAAGGCUAAAUACUCCUGACUGACCGAUAGUGAACCAGUACCGUGAGGGAAAGGCGAAAAGAACCCCGGCGAGGGGAGUGAAAAAGAACCUGAAACCGUGUACGUACAAGCAGUGGGAGCACCCUUCGGGGUGUGACUGCGUACCUUUUGUAUAAUGGGUCAGCGACUUAUAUUCUGUAGCAAGGUUAACCGAAUAGGGGAGCCGGAGGGAAACCGAGUCUUAAUUGGGCGUUAAGUUGCAGGGUAUAGACCCGAAACCCGGUGAUCUAGCCAUGGGCAGGUUGAAGGUUGGGUAACACUAACUGGAGGACCGAACCGACUAAUGUUGAAAAAUUAGCGGAUGACCUGUGGCUGGGGGUGAAAGGCCAAUCAAACCGGGAGAUAGCUGGUUCUCCCCGAAAGCUAUUUAGGUAGCGCCUCGUGAAUUCAUCUCCGGGGGUAGAGCACUGUUUCGGCUAGGGGGCCAUCCCGGCUUACCAACCCGAUGCAAACUGCGAAUACCGGAGAAUGUUAUCACGGGAGACACACGGCGGGUGCUAACGUCCGUCGUGAAGAGGGAAACAACCCAGACCGCCAGCUAAGGUCCCAAAGUCAUGGUUAAGUGGGAAACGAUGUGGGAAGGCCCAGACAGCCAGGAUGUUGGCUUAGA
Molecule: ribosomal RNA, 1078 nt
Filed under: Salmonella enterica subsp. enterica serovar Indiana
Lineage: Bacteria; Pseudomonadati; Pseudomonadota; Gammaproteobacteria; Enterobacterales; Enterobacteriaceae
Description: partial 23S ribosomal RNA
Rfam family: Bacterial large subunit ribosomal RNA
Source: RNAcentral